CUGGAAACGGUAGCUAAUACCGCAUAAUGUCGCAAGACCAAAGAGGGGGACCUUCGGGCCUCUUGCCAUCGGAUGUGCCCAGAUGGGAUUAGCUUGUUGGUGGGGUAACGGCUCACCAAGGCGACGAUCCCUAGCUGGUCUGAGAGGAUGACCAGCCACACUGGAACUGAGACACGGUCCAGACUCCUACGGGAGGCAGCAGUGGGGAAUAUUGCACAAUGGGCGCAAGCCUGAUGCAGCCAUGCCGCGUGUAUGAAGAAGGCCUUCGGGUUGUAAAGUACUUUCAGCGGGGAGGAAGGGAGUAAAGUUAAUACCUUUGCUCAUUGACGUUACCCGCAGAAGAAGCACCGGCUAACUCCGUGCCAGCAGCCGCGGUAAUACGGAGGGUGCAAGCGUUAAUCGGAAUUACUGGGCGUAAAGCGCACGCAGGCGGUUUGUUAAGUCAGAUGUGAAAUCCCCGGGCUCAACCUGGGAACUGCAUCUGAUACUGGCAAGCUUGAGUCUCGUAGAGGGGGGUAGAAUUCCAGGUGUAGCGGUGAAAUGCGUAGAGAUCUGGAGGAAUACCGGUGGCGAAGGCGGCCCCCUGGACGAAGACUGACGCUCAGGUGCGAAAGCGUGGGGAGCAAACAGGAUUAGAUACCCUGGUAGUCCACGCCGUAAACGAUGUCGACUUGGAGGUUGUGCCCUUGAGGCGUGGCUUCCGGAGCUAACGCGUUAAGUCGACCGCCUGGGGAGUACGGCCGCAAGGUUAAAACUCAAAUGAAUUGACGGGGGCCCGCACAAGCGGUGGAGCAUGUGGUUUAAUUCGAUGCAACGCGAAGAACCUUACCUGGUCUUGACAUCCACGGAAGUUUUCAGAGAUGAGAAUGUGCCUUCGGGAACCGUGAGACAGGUGCUGCAUGGCUGUCGUCAGCUCGUGUUGUGAAAUGUUGGGUUAAGUCCCGCAACGAGCGCAACCCUUAUCCUUUGUUGCCAGCGGUCCGGCCGGGAACUCAAAGGAGACUGCCAGUGAUAAACUGGAGGAAGGUGGGGAUGACGUCAAGUCAUCAUGGCCCUUACGACCAGGGCUACACACGUGCUACAAUGGCGCAUACAAAGAGAAGCGACCUCGCGAGAGCAAGCGGACCUCAUAAAGUGCGUCGUAGUCCGGAUUGGAGUCUGCAACUCGACUCCAUGAAGUCGGAAUCGCUAGUAAUCGUGGAUCAGAAUGCCACGGUGAAUACGUUCCCGGGCCUUGUACACACCGCCCGUCACACCAUGGGAGUGGGUUGCAAAAGAAGUAGGUAGCUUAACCUUCGGGAGGGCGCUUACCACUUUGUGAUUCAUGACUGGGGUGAAGUCGUAACAAGGUAACCGUAGGGGAACCUGCGGUUGGAUCAC
RNAcentral lists this ribosomal RNA (1380 nucleotides) under Shigella sonnei. RNAcentral's name for it is "bacterial SSU rRNA". It matches the Rfam family "Bacterial small subunit ribosomal RNA", at positions 150 to 1526 of the family's 1533-position model. The record is from RNAcentral. Lineage: Bacteria; Pseudomonadati; Pseudomonadota; Gammaproteobacteria; Enterobacterales; Enterobacteriaceae.